RNAcentral lists this ribosomal RNA (370 nucleotides) under uncultured organism. Its description in RNAcentral is "bacterial SSU rRNA". It matches the Rfam family "Bacterial small subunit ribosomal RNA", at positions 526 to 896 of the family's 1533-position model. The record is from RNAcentral.
CGUAGGGUGCAAGCGUUAAUCGGAAUUACUGGGCGUAAAGCGUGCGGAGGCGGUGAUGUAAGACAGGUGUGAAAUCCCCGGGCUUAACCUGGGAACUGCAUCUGUGACUGCAUAGCUAGAGUACGGUAGAGGGGGAUGGAAUUCCGCGUGUAGCAGUGAAAUGCGUAGAUAUGCGGAGGAACACCGAUGGCGAAGGCAAUCCCCUGGACCUGUACUGACGCUCAUGCACGAAAGCGUGGGGAGCAAACAGGAUUAGAUACCCUGGUAGUCCACGCCCUAAACGAUGUCAACUGGUUGUUGGGUCUUCACUGACUCAGUAACGAAGCUAACGCGUGAAGUUGACCGCCUGGGGAGUACGGCCGCAAGGUUG